Molecule: ribosomal RNA, 393 nt
Filed under: uncultured Glomeromycotina
Lineage: Eukaryota; Fungi; Glomeromycota
Description: SSU rRNA
Rfam family: Eukaryotic small subunit ribosomal RNA
Source: RNAcentral
AGCAGCCGCGGUAAUUCCAGCUCCAAUAGCGUAUAUUAAAGUUGUUGCAGUUAAAAAGCUCGUAGUUGAAUUUCGGGACCAAUUUGUUGGUCGUGCCUCGGUACGUACUGGUAUUAUUGGUUCCUCCCUUCUGAAGAACCUCGAUGCCAUUAAUUUGGUGUCGUGGGGAAUCAGGACUGUUACUUUGAAAAAAUUAGAGUGUUUAAAGCAAGCAUACGCUUGAAUACAUUAGCAUGGAAUAAUGAAAUAGGACGUUUGAUUCUAUUUUGUUGGUUUCUAGGAUUCGACGUAAUGAUUAAUAGGGAUAGUUGGGGGCAUUAGUAUUCAAUUGUCAGAGGUGAAAUUCUUGGAUUUAUUGAAGACUAACUACUGCGAAAGCAUUUGCCAAGGAUG